This 84-nucleotide ribosomal RNA is filed under the name Graphis sp. Hur JP060061. RNAcentral describes it as "partial 28S ribosomal RNA". The stretch from base 15 to 84 matches the Rfam family "Eukaryotic large subunit ribosomal RNA", at positions 1 to 70 of the family's 3401-position model. Lineage: Eukaryota; Fungi; Ascomycota; Lecanoromycetes; Ostropales; Graphidaceae. The record is from RNAcentral.
CAAAUCUCCAACAUCGACCUCGGAUCAGAUAGGAAUACCCGCUGAACUUAAGCAUAUCAAUAAGCGGAGGAAAAGAAACCAACA